CCCUUAGAUGUCCUGGGCCGCACGCGCGCUACACUGAUGAACGCAACGAGACCACCUGUACCGAAAGGCAUGGGUAAACUUGUGAAAGUUCAUCGUGAUGGGGAUAGAUUAUUGCAAUUAUUAAUCUUCAACGAGGAAUUCCUAGUAAGCGCGAGUCAUCAGCUCGCGUUGAUUACGUCCCUGCCCUUUGUACACACCGCCCGUCGCUCCUACCGAUUGAAUGGUCCGGUGAAAUCUUCGGAUUGCUGGAUAGGACUUCAUUGACCUAUCUGCGAGAAGUUGCUUGAACCUUAUCAUUUAGAGGAAGGAGAAGUCGUAACA
Molecule: ribosomal RNA, 321 nt
Filed under: uncultured eukaryote
Lineage: Eukaryota
Description: partial 18S ribosomal RNA
Rfam family: Eukaryotic small subunit ribosomal RNA
Source: RNAcentral